This is a long non-coding RNA of Musa acuminata AAA Group (dessert banana), 2575 nucleotides long. RefSeq lists it as uncharacterized. The transcript is spliced from 3 exons. The record is from RefSeq and is a predicted model, not a curated record. Lineage: Eukaryota; Viridiplantae; Streptophyta; Magnoliopsida; Zingiberales; Musaceae.
UCCAAGUUAAUAAAGUAAUUUUGUAUUAGUUUCUGGUAUAUGUCGAGUUGUAUAAAUGCACCAGUGACUACAGAAACUCUGAUUGAUGUCUACUGGUUCUGCAAAUGAUUCAUGAAAAUGCCUUGAUCUUGGCAUACUUAUGGUUUUUGAUGGGUAACAUUCUUCUUGGAUUAAUCCGAGCAGCACCAAGCAGGCUGUGGCCAGAAACCGACAUGGGAGUCAAGCCUCGGAGCUGGGAUCAGCGGGCUCCCCCCCCCCCCCGCCUCCCGCUGCACCGCACUGCAAGUGGAGAGAUGGAGCAACAGCAGGUCGCCCGCCUGUAGCCAACAGUUCAUCGACUGCCCGAUGCAGCUGCUCUCCAUCGAUUCAUGCAUCCCCAACCUUGGACAGCACGUGGAAGGCACUAACCAUGGCCACCUCUUCCUCCUCAUCCGACUGCUCCUCAGGAAGUAGGCGUACACACGAAGGUGAGCGGUCAAAGCGGUCAAAGAACAAGGACAAGAAGAGUGGGACCGCGGAGGACCAGCAACGCUGUGUGAUCUCAACCCCCCUCGACAACGAAUCCCUCGAUGAUGCAUGCAGGGUAAAUUUCUCUGGUUGUUUUGGCCGGUUUACUUCUCUGCAAGGACCAGUGAAUGAUGGGCUUCUUCCAUGAACGAGAGAAGGUGGAAAGGACGAAGGACAAUGAGAAGAAGAAGAAGAAGAAGAAUGUAAGGUUUGGGGAUGCUAAUGAGUACCACUUAGCUGCGAUAACAGCUCCAUUAGCUUCUCGUCUCAGGGACUGAGUAACUCUGCCUGCAUGCGUGCAGUAUGAUUGCUCGUAGAGAUAGGAAGAAACAGGUUUAACAGAGGAAGUAGAUCUCAAGAGAUCUCAUGGAAAGCGACGGAGCUCAGACACCGUCAGAUCUGCCCAAAACCAUAAAGAAUUGGCAAGCUUGGCUGUAUCUCCAGACAUUCCAUGUCUGGUCCUCCACGUAGCCAUCUCAUUUCCUUGUAGAAGACAAUGGCGUCCUGCAGCUGCUCUCUUCCUCCCUUUCCUCGAAGCUCGAUUCCAAGCUCCCAUCAACCACUUCUUUCUUUUCCUUAGGGGAAUAGUUUUACUACGGGGGUACUCACCGAGACCGCUGCAGUAAUUUAGUACGCGGGAGGGUGGUCCGACCAUGGCGUGCCCGUGCUUCCGUUGCACACCAAAGGCUCCUCGCCAUAUCUGAGGGAGGAGGGGGUGGUCAUCUAGCCAUUCCCCCACGUCGCGCCGGUGGUCCCCGCGGGUGGAGAUCUCGUGGUCGUCUUGUUGCCUUGUGGUCGCCUGCCCACACGCACAUGGGUGGGCGUAGGCAGCUGCAGCUGCAGCUACACCACCUCUCUCUCUCUCUCUCUCUCUCUCUCUCUCUCUCUCUCUCUCUCUCUCUCUCUCUCUACUGUUGUGCUCUGAUCGAUAACGUUGAACGCUUCUACGAUGCAUCAGGCAGCCAGGGAAGGAGUGCAGCGGAAAUAAAUGAGGCCAAUAACUGCUCGCUCUACCCCGUCUUGAAUGGCGAAAAGGAGAGCUGAUGGAUGGAUAAGCCGCCCAUCGCAUUUCCAUUCCUCUGAAAGCUCAGUGAGCGAGUAGGUGGGCUUUGGCUGCCGCUGUGGCAGCGAACGAGAGAGAGAGAGAGAGAGAGAGGAGGGGAGGGGUGGGAGACAUACGUGAAAGCCGGGGGGAAGUACGUCUCCUUCAGCCCGGAGUUCCCAAACUGGCCCUCGAUCUCGAGUCAUGUCUUAAGAAGGUCGAGGGCUUUAUAGUCAUUUCGAGAGUUGAACUGUAACAGGGUCGGGCGUGUUGUGCUGGGUUUUGUAUGUAUAUAAAGUAGGAAGAGAAAGUGGAGGAGAGAUGAGAGCGAGUUGUUGUCUUCCUCAGACACUCUUUUCUUUCUGGGCGGAAGGAGAGGACGAGGCAAAGGCAUUAUUAUUAAAGCGCCGGCAUGAGAGGAGGGUGAAGGUGAAGGAGAAGGAAGAAAGUGGCCGGAAGAAAGCUAAGCUAAGCUAAGCAAAGCAGCAGUGCUUCGUUAGAGGAUUCGUUGGUCUGCCAACUGAGGAGGAAGGAAAGAGAUGGAAAUGGUGCAAGUGGCCGCCAGGGCAGCCAUCGUGCGGUGGACGGGUGAGGGGAGGUCUCACGACAGUGCAGAUGAAGACGAAGGUGAGGAUGCCCAAAGUGCGGACAAUGCUCCCCUGUUUUGAGGUUCGUGAGUUCGUUCAUGGGUUCUGUGAUAUUGGCAUAAGCGGCUCAAUCACUCUUCUUUCGUCUUCUUCUUCUUCUUCUUUGUUUCUUUUGGCUACUCUUGCUCACAUUACCAACAUUUGGUUCUGUAAUCGCCUCUUGUUUCCGUCGCCAAAUCCUGUAACAUUGUCUUCUCCUUUGCUGCUGCUGCUGCUGCUACUGGUGGUGGUGGUGGUGGUGGAAAGAAGGGGAUGGGACAGUGGAUGGUUGGCCUGGGUUGUCUCGCUUGGCAGCAUCAUGGUCAUCAUGCCACCCCCUCCUUUCCCACAUCUUCUCCCCUUUUGUAUUGUGGGAUGUUUUGUUUGGUUUCUUUCUCUU